Mauremys reevesii (Reeves's turtle) is the source of this 1317-nucleotide long non-coding RNA. RefSeq lists it as uncharacterized. The record is from RefSeq and is a predicted model, not a curated record. NCBI's taxonomy places the organism in Eukaryota, Metazoa, Chordata, Testudines, Geoemydidae. The transcript is spliced from 2 exons.
GUGUCCUAAGUUCCACCCCCCUCACUAGAUAUAGGUGCCUAUGCCCAGGCUACAGGGAGGCAACUGUCUUUGUUGGCAACCCACAAAUUGGGAGAAGAUAGGCAUUCUACCACCUAUGUCAUGUGCUAGGACCCGAGGACCAAUCCAUUAGGUGUGCUUAAAGACCAUCUAAUUCCAUGUCAAACAGCUGGAGAAGGAGGACAAGGAUUUAAUUACAAUCUUUAUCUCAGCAGUUGGGGGCACUUACCCAGCAUGUGGGAGACCCCAAUUUCAAGCCUCCCCUCUGCCUGAUGAUCAGAAGAGAUUAGAACAGGAAUCUGCUACCUCUCAGGGCUCAAAGUGCUGGGUGGAAAUGCAGGCUUGGAACAAUGAACAAAGAAACUGUCUGCUGCUGAUCAAUCCCUACUAUGUUCAGGGAAACAAACUUUAUGCAUAUUUUGUACGUAAACAAGAUUGCAUCAAAGAAAAUACCUGACUGCAUCAUCAAUUUCUCCUCCUAAUGGAAACAACCCUCAGGACCCUGAACUUUGGCUAUUGGGUCAAAAGGGGAUAAGGAUACUCUUUUCAGUAAUAUAUUUUAAGCUCUCUGUUCAGUGGGUAGAUCUCUCAUUUAGGUCCUGAUCAAGAGCCCAACUGAGUCACAGAAAUCCUUCCAUUGGCUUCAGUGGUCUUUUGGGUCAGGCCUUGACUGCUCACUGUAAAACCUGUGCAAUACAUAAAUCCAUAGGGCUGAAGCCUCAGCUUGUGUAAACUGGUGUAUUCCCGUGACUCUAAUAGGGCUAUGCCAAUCCACACCACCUGAGGAUCUGGCACAUAGAUUCUAAUGACAAAAAGGACUACUGUGGUCAUUUUAGACUGACCCUCUGCAUGACACAGGCCAUAGAAUUUCACUCAGUGAUUUCUGAAGCGGAGAAAAUUAUUCUUCCCUAUUACAUACAUGAACACUAUUGAACACAAUUGCUUGUGCAUGAACUAGGGAAAUGGGGCCCUGAUUUUGCUCUGUUAAAUGAAUAAAUUUGAACUAAGGGAGUAAACCACACUAUUGGAUCUUAAGGUUGGAAGAACAAGACCAAAGUUUUUGGCCCAAACCAAUUUCAAUGUGAUGAGAGAGAGCCAUAUAAUUUUAGGGACAGUGAAAAAUUGGCUUUCAAACUUUCUGUAGACUGGGGAAUUACUGUGAAUGUCUGUCAAGAGUUUGUGUUGAAAGAAAUGUUGCCACAUUUUUAAUGGGAAAAAAGCUUGAAAGCAGAUUCCUUGUGAUUCAGAUAGAUGCUAAUCACUAGAGGCAGGGACUUGUAAAUAAAUUAACUGAUACCA